UCGUUCUUCUCUUCUUCCCUAAUUAUCGUUUCCGUUCUUCCGUAAAAUAAAGAAAGCGUAAUCGAAAUUGCUGAUUACUGUUGAGGAUUAAUGAUGUAAUUAAGAGUUUGAAUGGGUUAGGAAUUGGGUUCUGAAGUUCGAUUUCAAAGCAAGUUAGGAAAAGAUUUGGAAACAGCUGAAGAACUGCUGCGAAUUUGAUUUAGCUUGGAUUUCUUAUUUUAGCACAAUCAAAUUCGUCACAUCUUCUUCACUCUCUGGACGGCUUAAGGUGAAAUUGAAUUCAAGUCUUUCAAGGAAGAAAAGAAGUAGAAUUUUAGUCGGGUGAAGAAAAAGGGAUACAGACGAGGAAGUGUUGCCAAAGAAAGAAGAAUCGAGAAUUGGGAAAAUCAAAUUUAAGGCUUUUGAUUUGGAUGAACAUCAAAUCUCUCGUAGAGCAAAGAUUAUGAUUAUUACGCUAAGAUUAAAGCUGGAUGCAUGAACCCAACAAAUUGAGUAAAGAACGGUCAGGUGUUAAUUUCUUUAUUGAGAUGACCAAAAAGCAUCUCAUAAGAAACAAAAAGGACAAGUGACUCCACGGAAGAAAAAUCUUAAAACAGAUUAUGAUUUGACAUGUUUAAAUGUGAAUAAUACGUGAUUUAAGAAAGAACCAUGUCUAUCGCAUUGGAUGCGCGACAAGUGUUCUACCUGGAUGAUCAUAAAUUCGGAGCAGACUGGAAAGUGGUUCAAAAAAUGCAUCACAGACAUAUAUGAGACAUACGUGGGAUGUUCCUGAAAUGGGUGAUGAUGAUGAAGAAGAAGAUGUUUAUCAGCAAACUUGGGAUGUAACAGUAUCAUCACUCAUACAAGAAGAUAAUGUUGGAGUAGAUAAACUCCGUAGAGAUGAUGUGGAGGUAGAGUUGGUAGAUGCAGAGAUUGUACUUGCAGCUGAUAUUGAUGUGGAUGAUGUUCAUGUCGAGGAAGAAGAUGAGACAUUGAUUGAUUAUAAUGACUCGGAAGACGUGCCCGUUGACGAUGAUUCAGAUUUAGAGGAUUAGUUAUUUGCAUUUUAUUUACUUAAAAAUAGUUGUUUGGUUUGAUCAUUAUUUUGAUUAGAACAAUAGCUCAUAACACCGCUAUUUUGAGAAUAAUUAGUUUAAUCAUUUUUAAGUAAAUAAAAUGAUUCAGAGGUUCUAGCCGUACUUCCGAUGAUUCAGAGAUUGGUUAUUUUUGUUGUUUGGUUGGAUUUCAACGAUCUUCUAUAUGUCAGCUUUACUACGCA
Papaver somniferum (opium poppy) is the source of this 1258-nucleotide long non-coding RNA. RefSeq lists it as uncharacterized. NCBI's taxonomy places the organism in Eukaryota, Viridiplantae, Streptophyta, Magnoliopsida, Ranunculales, Papaveraceae. The record is from RefSeq and is a predicted model, not a curated record. The transcript has 4 exons.